GCGAUCUGUGGCGAUGGUGAGCGAUGCUAAAUAUCUGAAAAGAUUGAAUUUCAUAAUCUUUUCAAUGAUCUGGAUUGCCCUCCGAAGGCAGAGGUCACAGGUUCGAAUCCUGUCGGGUGCGCCA
This 124-nucleotide transfer RNA is filed under the name Nitratireductor sp. RNAcentral describes it as "tRNA-OTHER". Lineage: Bacteria; Pseudomonadati; Pseudomonadota; Alphaproteobacteria; Hyphomicrobiales; Phyllobacteriaceae. The record is from RNAcentral.